RNAcentral lists this transfer RNA (73 nucleotides) under Candidatus Omnitrophota bacterium. RNAcentral's name for it is "tRNA-Thr". It matches the Rfam family "tRNA". From Rfam's summary of the family: Transfer RNA (tRNA) molecules are approximately 80 nucleotides in length. Their secondary structure includes four short double-helical elements and three loops (D, anti-codon, and T loops). The record is from RNAcentral. Lineage: Bacteria; Pseudomonadati; Candidatus Omnitrophota.
GCCCUUGUAGCUCAGUUGGUAGAGCACAUCCAUGGUAAGGAUGGGGUCGCCGGUUCAAAUCCGGCCGAGGGCU